RNAcentral lists this ribosomal RNA (477 nucleotides) under Peripatoides cf. aurorbis DNA103568. RNAcentral's name for it is "partial 16S ribosomal RNA". It matches the Rfam family "Bacterial large subunit ribosomal RNA", at positions 1819 to 2600 of the family's 2925-position model. Lineage: Eukaryota; Metazoa; Onychophora; Udeonychophora; Euonychophora; Peripatopsidae. The record is from RNAcentral.
UGCUUUUUGAAUAUAUAAAAAGUAUUACCUGCCCAAUGAUUAAUUUUAAAUGGCCGCAGUAUAUUGACUGUGCAAAGGUAGCAUAAUCAUUUGUUUUAUAAAUUAAAACUUGUAUGAAUGGAAAAAUGUAAAUAUGACUGUCUUUUAUUUAUAUAUAAAAUUUGCUUUUUCAGUGAAGAAGCUGAAUCUUUUUAAAAAGACGAAAAGACCCUAAUGAGUUUUAAAUAUUUAUGUAAUAUUUAUAUAAAAUAUUUUUAGUUGGGGUGAUUAAAGAAAAAAUCUUCUUUUUAAAGAUUUAAAUAAUAAUUAAUGAGCCAUUAAUAAUGAAUAAAAGUUUAAAUUACCGUAGGGGUAACAGCAUAAUUUUUUUUAAGAGUACAUAUUGACAAAAAAGAUUGUGACCUCGAUGUUGGUUUAAGAAAAUUUUAUAAUGGAGUAGUUAUAUAAAUAAGUCUGUUCGACUUUUAAAUUCUUACA